This 446-nucleotide ribosomal RNA is filed under the name uncultured bacterium. RNAcentral's name for it is "partial 16S ribosomal RNA". It matches the Rfam family "Bacterial small subunit ribosomal RNA", at positions 338 to 795 of the family's 1533-position model. The record is from RNAcentral.
CCUACGGGAGGCUGCAGUCGAGAAUUAUUCACAAUGGGGGAAACCCUGAUGGUGCGACGCCGCGUGGGGGAAUGAAGGUCUUCGGAUUGUAAACCCCUGUCAUGUGGGAGCAAAUUAAAAAGAUAGUACCACAAGAGGAAGAGACGGCUAACUCUGUGCCAGCAGCCGCGGUAAUACAGAGGUCUCAAGCGUUGUUCGGAAUCACUGGGCGUAAAGCGUGCGUAGGCUGUUUCGUAAGUCGUGUGUGAAAGGCGCGGGCUCAACCCGCGGACGGCACAUGAUACUGCGAGACUAGAGUAGUGGAGGGGGAACCGGAAUGCUCGGUGUAGCAGUGAAAUGCGUAGAUAUCGAGAGGAACACUCGUGGCGAAGGCGGGUUCCUGGACAUUAACUGACGCUGAGGCACGAAGGCCAGGGGAGCGAAAGGGAUUAGAUACCCGAGUAGUC